CAAUAGCGUAUAUUAAAGUUGUUGCGGUUAAAAAGCUCGUAGUUGGAUUUCUGUCGGUGAAUAUCAGUCCGCCCACAGCGGUAGGUACGUGAUAUUUCACCGGCAUCUUCCUGGGGAAUGUGUCUGCUCUUUAUUGAGUGGUACAUAAGCCAGGACUUUUACUUUGAAGAAAUGAGAGUGUUUCAAGCAGGCAUGCGCCGUGAAUACGUUAGCAUGGGAUAAUAGCAUCGGACCUCGUUCCAAAGCUGUUGGUUUCUUGGACCGAGGUAAAGGUGAAUAGGGAUUGUUGGGGGCAUUCGUAUUUGACUGUCAGAGGUGAAAUUCUUGGAUUUGUUGAAGACGGACUACUGCGAAAGCAUCUGCCAAAGAUGUUCUCAUUGAUCAAGAACGAAAGUUAGGUGAUCGAAGACGAUCAGAUACCAU
This 423-nucleotide ribosomal RNA is filed under the name uncultured eukaryote. Its description in RNAcentral is "SSU rRNA". It matches the Rfam family "Eukaryotic small subunit ribosomal RNA", at positions 592 to 1018 of the family's 1831-position model. The record is from RNAcentral.